This is a long non-coding RNA of Zonotrichia leucophrys gambelii, 1175 nucleotides long. RefSeq lists it as uncharacterized. The transcript is spliced from 5 exons. The record is from RefSeq and is a predicted model, not a curated record. Lineage: Eukaryota; Metazoa; Chordata; Aves; Passeriformes; Passerellidae.
CCGUGUUCCAGGCCGUGUUCCCGGCCGUGUUCCCGGCUGCAGCCCCGCGGCGCCGCCGCUCCGCCCCGCUCCCUGCGCGCUCCCGCCGCUCCCGGCCGGCGCUCCCUCCACCGCUGCAAAGGGAACUUCUGUUCGCUGGGCUCUGCUGUGCUGCUGUGAAACGGCACAAAAUGAGGUACACCGUGUGCUUCUACUCUAGAGAGCAGGUAUAAUGUCUGUAAUUACACCACAACUGCACGGCAAAUACCAGGCAUUCUUCAUGAGCAACAUCAAGAAGUGUAACAUGCUAAUAGCUAAUAACAGGGGACAGACCUGUUGUGAUCUUAAAAUCUGAAAAUAUUGAGGACUGCAGAGGGAAGAGGUUACCCAGAGCAGGAUAGCAAACAUUUGGCCAGGAAUUAAGUUCUCCAGUACACUAUUCUAAGAAACUCAGCUCUGAAUGAGCUCUGCACCAGGACUUAUCACCUCCCUUACUGGACAAAACCAACGUUACUUCAGAGUCCAAUCAUGUCCCUUUUCAGGUUUUUAGCACCAUUUUUUCUUCCAUAACUCAGCUAUACAUUGCUGUGGAAUUUGAUAUUGAGGAAAAAAAUUGAUCAAGUCUGCUCUAGGCCAGCACUGGUCAGCAAGGGCACAAGCAGGAGGGUUUGAGCUGGUGCCUGCUCCUGCCUUGGCUCUUGGGACAUCACCAUCCUGCAGCUGCAAGAAGGACAAAGGGCUGAGGGCAGCUUGUCUACUUCACUGCAAAGUUACUUUCCUGACUGGUAUAUUUUUGCAGCUCUAAGAUGUUACCUAGUUACCAGUGAAUCAUAGCCUGGUAACCACUCAGAGAAUUCUGGGGUUUAUUUACAACAAGGUAAGUGACCCUGAAUAAGUCAGGCUGGGGACACUUAGGCUGUCCGAUUGUACAAGAGGAAGAGACUCACACGAAAUUUAUUUGAAGUGUUAAGAUUAAACCUGCAGCAUGAAAUUCAUUACCAUUAGUCUUGACAACAUUAACUCUAUUUAAAAUCUAUUGAACUGGUUUAAAAUUAAACUUCAGGUUCCCUUCACCUGCAACCCAGCCCUGAAGCUGUCGAACCCUGUGUUGCCCAUCCCAUGCCAGAUUUUCCCAUUUGGUUGGAAGAUCGCUAUUAAUAAGUGGAUUAUUAAUAAGUGGAUAUUAAAAAAAGAGG